Molecule: ribosomal RNA, 441 nt
Filed under: uncultured bacterium
Lineage: Bacteria
Description: partial 16S ribosomal RNA
Rfam family: Bacterial small subunit ribosomal RNA
Source: RNAcentral
CCUACGGGAGGCAGCAGUGGGGGAUAUUGCACAAUGGGGGGAACCCUGAUGCAGCGACGCCGCGUGGGUGAAGGAGUGCUUCGGCAUGUAAAGCCCUAUCGGCAGGGAAGAAGCAAGACGGUACCUGACUAAGAAGCCCCGGCUAAAUACGUGCCAGCAGCCGCGGUAAUACGUAGGGGGCGAGCGUUAUCCGGAUUCACUGGGUGUAACGGGAGGGUAGACGGCCAUGCAAGCCAGGGGUGAAAGCCGGGGGCCCAACCCCGGGACUGCCCUUGGAACUGCAUGGUUGGAGUGCGGGAGGGGCAGGCGGAAUUCCUGGUGUAGCGGUGAAAUGCGUAGAUAUCAGGAGGAACACCGGCGGCGAAGGCGGCCUGCUGGACCGCGACUGACGUUGAGGCUCGAAAGCGUGGGGAGCGAACAGGAUUAGAUACCCUAGUAGUC